RNAcentral lists this long non-coding RNA (508 nucleotides) under Monodelphis domestica (gray short-tailed opossum). Its description in RNAcentral is "lncRNA (ENSMODG00000047796.1)". Lineage: Eukaryota; Metazoa; Chordata; Mammalia; Didelphimorphia; Didelphidae. The record is from RNAcentral.
AUGAACAGACAUACUGAGCCAAAAAAGAUCAAAGUUAAUUUAUAUGGAGAGGAUGGAUUAUUACCAUCCAUCUUUGCUGCCUGCUUUUGUGGGUGUCCUCUGAAUACAAGGACUGUGUUGCAUCCCUGCUCUCCUUCAGCCAUCUCCAGAGCAGUCAACCUAAAGUUCCCUCAAUCAGAACCUAGGAAGAAGCCAGAACCAGCCAUAGUUAAAGCCCCAAGUAAGCCUCCUACUCAAUCAUUUCUUCACACACUGACUGAGGCUAUAUCCCCAGCUCCUCCUACCAGUAGAUCUCAAACUAGGAGCAACCCUCGACAGCUAAUCCCACUGCCAGUUUGGCCCCAGCCCUUUUGUUUCAAGGUCCCCAAAACUAAACCUCAAAGGAUUCACCAUCCUCCUCUUGCAUGUUUAGGUCCCAGAUUCCCAAAAUGGAAAGGGAAAAAAAAGUCCUCUUAGCCUCCGCUGUCAAUUUCUAAUCCCUUUAAAAUAAAGCACAGUAUUUGAUUCA